CCUACGGGCGGCAGCAGUGGGGAAUAUUGCACAAUGGGCGCAAGCCUGAUGCAGCCAUGCCGCGUGUAUGAAGAAGGCCUUCGGGUUGUAAAGUACUUUCAGUUGUGAGGAAGGUUGUGUGGUUAAUACCCAUAUAAUUUGACGUUAGCAACAGAAGAAGCACCGGCUAACUCCGUGCCAGCAGCCGCGGUAAUACGGAGGGUCCGAGCGUUAAUCGGAAUUACUGGGCGUAAAGCGCAUGCAGGUGGUUUGUUAAGUCAGAUGUGAAAGCCCGGGGCUCAACCUCGGAAUAGCAUUUGAAACUGGCAGACUAGAGUACUGUAGAGGGGGGUAGAAUUUCAGGUGUAGCGGUGAAAUGCGUAGAGAUCUGAAGGAAUACCGGUGGCGAAGGCGGCCCCCUGGACAGAUACUGACACUCAGAUGCGAAAGCGUGGGGAGCAAACAGGAUUAGAUACCCUGGUAGUC
Molecule: ribosomal RNA, 465 nt
Filed under: uncultured Vibrio sp.
Lineage: Bacteria; Pseudomonadati; Pseudomonadota; Gammaproteobacteria; Vibrionales; Vibrionaceae
Description: bacterial SSU rRNA
Rfam family: Bacterial small subunit ribosomal RNA
Source: RNAcentral